RNAcentral lists this transfer RNA (64 nucleotides) under Tenebrionoidea sp. 4 KM-2017. Its description in RNAcentral is "tRNA-Ile". The record is from RNAcentral. Lineage: Eukaryota; Metazoa; Arthropoda; Insecta; Coleoptera.
AAUGAAGUGCCUGAAAAAGGAUUAUUUUGAUAGAAUAAAUCAUGUAGUAACCCUACCUUUAUUA